ACUGCAAUGUGAGCACUUCCAGU
RNAcentral lists this microRNA (23 nucleotides) under Salmo salar (Atlantic salmon). RNAcentral describes it as "ssa-miR-20a-1-3p". Its record names the gene ssa-miR-20a-1-3p. Lineage: Eukaryota; Metazoa; Chordata; Actinopteri; Salmoniformes; Salmonidae. The record is from miRBase by way of RNAcentral.